UACGGAGGGUGCAAGCGUUAAUCGGAAUUACUGGGCGUAAAGCGCACGCAGGUGGCUGAGUCAGUCGAUUGUGAAAGCCCUGGGCUUAACCUGGGAAUUGCAGUCGAUACUACUCAGCUAGAGUAUGGGAGAGGGCAGUGGAAUUCCCGGUGUAGCGGUGAAAUGCGUAGAUAUUGGGAGGAACACCAGUGGCGAAGGCGGCUCACUGGACCGGUACUGACGCUGAUGCGCGAAAGCGUGGGGAGCAAACGGG
RNAcentral lists this ribosomal RNA (253 nucleotides) under uncultured bacterium. RNAcentral describes it as "partial 16S ribosomal RNA". It matches the Rfam family "Bacterial small subunit ribosomal RNA", at positions 524 to 776 of the family's 1533-position model. The record is from RNAcentral.